GAGGUUGUGGCUCAGUGUUAGAGCACCCACCUAGCAUGUGUGAGGCACUGGGUUCGAUCUUCAGCACCACA
RNAcentral lists this transfer RNA (71 nucleotides) under Marmota monax (woodchuck). RNAcentral describes it as "tRNA.Ala". Lineage: Eukaryota; Metazoa; Chordata; Mammalia; Rodentia; Sciuridae. The record is from RNAcentral.